RNAcentral lists this ribosomal RNA (2929 nucleotides) under Escherichia coli. Its description in RNAcentral is "bacterial LSU rRNA". It matches the Rfam family "Bacterial large subunit ribosomal RNA". The record is from RNAcentral. Lineage: Bacteria; Pseudomonadati; Pseudomonadota; Gammaproteobacteria; Enterobacterales; Enterobacteriaceae.
GGGUUGUGAGGUUAAGCGACUAAGCGUACACGGUGGAUGCCCUGGCAGUCAGAGGCGAUGAAGGACGUGCUAAUCUGCGAUAAGCGUCGGUAAGGUGAUAUGAACCGUUAUAACCGGCGAUUUCCGAAUGGGGAAACCCAGUGUGUUUCGACACACUAUCAUUAACUGAAUCCAUAGGUUAAUGAGGCGAACCGGGGGAACUGAAACAUCUAAGUACCCCGAGGAAAAGAAAUCAACCGAGAUUCCCCCAGUAGCGGCGAGCGAACGGGGAGCAGCCCAGAGCCUGAAUCAGUGUGUGUGUUAGUGGAAGCGUCUGGAAAGGCGCGCGAUACAGGGUGACAGCCCCGUACACAAAAAUGCACAUGCUGUGAGCUCGAUGAGUAGGGCGGGACACGUGGUAUCCUGUCUGAAUAUGGGGGACCAUCCUCCAAGGCUAAAUACUCCUGACUGACCGAUAGUGAACCAGUACCGUGAGGGAAAGGCGAAAAGAACCCCGGCGAGGGGAGUGAAAAAGAACCUGAAACCGUGUACGUACAAGCAGUGGGAGCACGCUUAGGCGUGUGACUGCGUACCUUUUGUAUAAUGGGUCAGCGACUUAUAUUCUGUAGCAAGGUUAACCGAAUAGGGGAGCCGAAGGGAAACCGAGUCUUAACUGGGCGUUAAGUUGCAGGGUAUAGACCCGAAACCCGGUGAUCUAGCCAUGGGCAGGUUGAAGGUUGGGUAACACUAACUGGAGGACCGAACCGACUAAUGUUGAAAAAUUAGCGGAUGACUUGUGGCUGGGGGUGAAAGGCCAAUCAAACCGGGAGAUAGCUGGUUCUCCCCGAAAGCUAUUUAGGUAGCGCCUCGUGAAUUCAUCUCCGGGGGUAGAGCACUGUUUCGGCAAGGGGGUCAUCCCGACUUACCAACCCGAUGCAAACUGCGAAUACCGGAGAAUGUUAUCACGGGAGACACACGGCGGGUGCUAACGUCCGUCGUGAAGAGGGAAACAACCCAGACCGCCAGCUAAGGUCCCAAAGUCAUGGUUAAGUGGGAAACGAUGUGGGAAGGCCCAGACAGCCAGGAUGUUGGCUUAGAAGCAGCCAUCAUUUAAAGAAAGCGUAAUAGCUCACUGGUCGAGUCGGCCUGCGCGGAAGAUGUAACGGGGCUAAACCAUGCACCGAAGCUGCGGCAGCGACGCUUAUGCGUUGUUGGGUAGGGGAGCGUUCUGUAAGCCUGCGAAGGUGUGCUGUGAGGCAUGCUGGAGGUAUCAGAAGUGCGAAUGCUGACAUAAGUAACGAUAAAGCGGGUGAAAAGCCCGCUCGCCGGAAGACCAAGGGUUCCUGUCCAACGUUAAUCGGGGCAGGGUGAGUCGACCCCUAAGGCGAGGCCGAAAGGCGUAGUCGAUGGGAAACAGGUUAAUAUUCCUGUACUUGGUGUUACUGCGAAGGGGGGACGGAGAAGGCUAUGUUGGCCGGGCGACGGUUGUCCCGGUUUAAGCGUGUAGGCUGGUUUUCCAGGCAAAUCCGGAAAAUCAAGGCUGAGGCGUGAUGACGAGGCACUACGGUGCUGAAGCAACAAAUGCCCUGCUUCCAGGAAAAGCCUCUAAGCAUCAGGUAACAUCAAAUCGUACCCCAAACCGACACAGGUGGUCAGGUAGAGAAUACCAAGGCGCUUGAGAGAACUCGGGUGAAGGAACUAGGCAAAAUGGUGCCGUAACUUCGGGAGAAGGCACGCUGAUAUGUAGGUGAAGCGACUUGCUCGUGGAGCUGAAAUCAGUCGAAGAUACCAGCUGGCUGCAACUGUUUAUUAAAAACACAGCACUGUGCAAACACGAAAGUGGACGUAUACGGUGUGACGCCUGCCCGGUGCCGGAAGGUUAAUUGAUGGGGUUAGCGCAAGCGAAGCUCUUGAUCGAAGCCCCGGUAAACGGCGGCCGUAACUAUAACGGUCCUAAGGUAGCGAAAUUCCUUGUCGGGUAAGUUCCGACCUGCACGAAUGGCGUAAUGAUGGCCAGGCUGUCUCCACCCGAGACUCAGUGAAAUUGAACUCGCUGUGAAGAUGCAGUGUACCCGCGGCAAGACGGAAAGACCCCGUGAACCUUUACUAUAGCUUGACACUGAACAUUGAGCCUUGAUGUGUAGGAUAGGUGGGAGGCUUUGAAGUGUGGACGCCAGUCUGCAUGGAGCCGACCUUGAAAUACCACCCUUUAAUGUUUGAUGUUCUAACGUUGACCCGUAAUCCGGGUUGCGGACAGUGUCUGGUGGGUAGUUUGACUGGGGCGGUCUCCUCCUAAAGAGUAACGGAGGAGCACGAAGGUUGGCUAAUCCUGGUCGGACAUCAGGAGGUUAGUGCAAUGGCAUAAGCCAGCUUGACUGCGAGCGUGACGGCGCGAGCAGGUGCGAAAGCAGGUCAUAGUGAUCCGGUGGUUCUGAAUGGAAGGGCCAUCGCUCAACGGAUAAAAGGUACUCCGGGGAUAACAGGCUGAUACCGCCCAAGAGUUCAUAUCGACGGCGGUGUUUGGCACCUCGAUGUCGGCUCAUCACAUCCUGGGGCUGAAGUAGGUCCCAAGGGUAUGGCUGUUCGCCAUUUAAAGUGGUACGCGAGCUGGGUUUAGAACGUCGUGAGACAGUUCGGUCCCUAUCUGCCGUGGGCGCUGGAGAACUGAGGGGGGCUGCUCCUAGUACGAGAGGACCGGAGUGGACGCAUCACUGGUGUUCGGGUUGUCAUGCCAAUGGCACUGCCCGGUAGCUAAAUGCGGAAGAGAUAAGUGCUGAAAGCAUCUAAGCACGAAACUUGCCCCGAGAUGAGUUCUCCCUGACUCCUUGAGAGUCCUGAAGGAACGUUGAAGACGACGACGUUGAUAGGCCGGGUGUGUAAGCGCAGCGAUGCGUUGAGCUAACCGGUACUAAUGAACCGUGAGGCUUAACCUUACAACGCCGAAGCUGUU